GCGCCCGUAGCGUAGCCUGGGAACGCACCGGACCUAUGAUCCGGCGAACGCGCCCUUCCGAUGCAGGGGUGAUCGCAGGUUCGAAUCCUGCCGGGCGCA
This 99-nucleotide transfer RNA is filed under the name Euryarchaeota archaeon RBG_16_68_12. RNAcentral's name for it is "tRNA-Ile". It matches the Rfam family "tRNA". From Rfam's summary of the family: Transfer RNA (tRNA) molecules are approximately 80 nucleotides in length. Their secondary structure includes four short double-helical elements and three loops (D, anti-codon, and T loops). Further hydrogen bonds mediate the characteristic L-shaped molecular structure. tRNAs have two regions of fundamental functional importance: the anti-codon, which is responsible for specific mRNA codon recognition, and the 3' end, to which the tRNAs corresponding amino acid is attached (by aminoacyl-tRNA synthetases). tRNAs cope with the degeneracy of the genetic code in two manners: having more than one tRNA (with a specific anti-codon) for a particular amino acid; and 'wobble' base-pairing, i.e. permitting non-standard base-pairing at the 3rd anti-codon position. The record is from RNAcentral. Lineage: Archaea; Methanobacteriati; Methanobacteriota. RNAcentral also lists the same sequence under 1 other name.